ACUAUGGAGAGUUUGAUCCUGGCUCAGGAUGAACGCUAGCGGCAGGCCUAAUACAUGCAAGACGAACGGUAAGGUUGUAGCAAUACGAUCUGAGAGUGUCGUAAGGGUGCGUAACACGUAUGCAAUCUGCCCUCAACAGGAGGAUAGCUCCCCGAAAGGGGAAUUAACACUCCGUAAGAUUGUAGUGUGGCAUCACACAGCAAUUAAAAUUCCGGUGGUUGAGGAUGAGCAUGCGCAUGAUUAGUUAGUUGGCGGGGUAACGGCCCACCAAGACGAUGAUCAUUAGGGGAACUGAGAGGUUGAUCCCCCACACUGGCACUGAGAUACGGGCCAGACUCC
This 339-nucleotide ribosomal RNA is filed under the name Cytophagales bacterium. RNAcentral describes it as "bacterial SSU rRNA". It matches the Rfam family "Bacterial small subunit ribosomal RNA", at positions 1 to 339 of the family's 1533-position model. The record is from RNAcentral. Lineage: Bacteria; Pseudomonadati; Bacteroidota; Cytophagia; Cytophagales.